Molecule: long non-coding RNA, 655 nt
Organism: Oncorhynchus tshawytscha (Chinook salmon)
Lineage: Eukaryota; Metazoa; Chordata; Actinopteri; Salmoniformes; Salmonidae
Source: Ensembl
UGAUACAGGUCUGAAAGACCAAUGGAGACAAGACGGCAACAUACUGUACAAGAUGCCCAUCUUCAGAUAACUAUCUUCCUCAACCACAGAAAAGCUGGUUCAGUCUCAUUCCAGGUGAUCCGUCACCUCUAGAGGCGGCAGGGUAGCCUAGUGGUUAGAGUGGAGGGGCGGCAGGUAGCCUAGUGGUUAGAGUGGAGGGGCGGCAGGUAGCCUAGUGGUUAGAGUGGAGGGGCGGCAGGGUAGCCUAGUGGUUAGAGUGGAGGGGCGGCAGGUAGCCUAGUGGUUAGAGUGGAGGGGCGGCAGGUAGCCUAGUGGUUAGAGUGGAGGGGCGGCAGGUAGCCUAGUGGUUAGAGUGGAGGGGCGGCAGGGUAGCCUAGUGGUUAGAGUGGAGGGGCGGCAGGGUAGCCUAGUGGUUAGAGUGGAGGGGCGGCAGGGUAGCCUAGUGGUUAGAGUGGAGGGGCGGCAGGUAGCCUAGUGGUUAGAGUGGAGGGGCGGCAGGGUAGCCUAGUGGUUAGAGUGGAGGGGCGGCAGGGUAGCCUAGUGGUUAGAGCGUUGGACUAGUAACCGGAAGGUUGCAAGUACAAAUCCCCGAGCUGACAAGGUACAAAUCUGUCGUUCUGCCCCUGAACAGGCAGUUAACCCACAGUUCCUAGGC